Molecule: long non-coding RNA, 627 nt
Organism: Peromyscus eremicus (cactus mouse)
Lineage: Eukaryota; Metazoa; Chordata; Mammalia; Rodentia; Cricetidae
Exons: 2
Source: RefSeq, a predicted model, not a curated record
UUUUAUGUGUCCCCUGUGUUGUCGGCCUCCCUUUGUGUUUCCGUCAGCUCACUGUCCUGUGGAGUUCACAGCCACCUUCUCUGCCUCAGUGGCCUGCCUCUCCUUUGCUGUCACUUUCGGUUUUUUUUCUAGGUGGAGAUGCAAUUUCUUUCCCAGAGAUGCAAUUCUUUGUCCCUCCCAAGAAUGAACUUGGUGGCACCCUAGAGGAUCAUCUCUCACCCAAGUCCCCAUAACACAGCCAAGUUGACAGUCAAGAGGAGCCAUCCAGGAGAAUAACGCUUUAAGUAUCGUAAGAUGCAGAAGGCUGCAAAGAGCAUCGCUUCUGCUGAGAUGCAGCUAUGGAAAGAUAUUUCACAACACAUAGAUUCGUGGAAAAGUCACGAAGCUCCUUCUUUCUUAAAGCAUUGCAUGGCGCGGUCCAGCAGCGGGUGUAUUUUUCUGGUCGCCAUGACGACAAGUGUUAUUUCACGAUACCUGCAGCAAACGUGUUGUGAAAAAUGAAAACACUCAUGACUUCUAUGUUGGUGAAAAGUAGGUACCGCUGACAUUGCUGUGGUUUGUGCCCUACGCCCCUGAUGGCAGGAAAUACUGAAGUUCACUGAAUUGUGUAUUAAAAUGUACAUGUCA